RNAcentral lists this long non-coding RNA (349 nucleotides) under Ananas comosus (pineapple). RNAcentral describes it as "long non-coding RNA (ACOM_LNC030530)". Lineage: Eukaryota; Viridiplantae; Streptophyta; Magnoliopsida; Poales; Bromeliaceae. The record is from RNAcentral.
GGAUGGUGGUUGAUCCGUUGACCAAGCCGAUAGCUAGAGAUAUGUUCCUGACCCACGUUAGGAGUUUGGGUCUUCGUAGGUUUUGAUAUGGACAUUAUUUUGUAUUUUACGCUUUAUUAAUGAAAAUGUGUUUUUCUUUUAAUGUGGUUGCGUAAUUGAUACUAGUAGGCACAUAUUCGUUAAGUCACCGGGCUUAGAUCAGCCCACUCACACGGGUGAUCGCCCUGGCACCUAAGUGGUGAGCAGGAUGAGACUAGAUAAUCAUAUUAAACUUGAGUAGUUGUAAUAUGAUUACUUUAUUCAUAUAUGUUAUGAAUGAAGUGUUGAUAUAAUUUAAAGUCGCCUUAAU